CCUACGGGUGGCAGCAGUGAGGAAUAUUGGUCAAUGGACGAGAGUCUGAACCAGCCAAGUAGCGUGAAGGAUGAAUGCCCUGUGGGUUGUAAACUUCUUUUAUAUGGGAAUAAAAUGUUCCACGUGUGGGAUUUUGUGUGUACCAUAUGAAUAAGGAUCGGCUAACUCCGUGCCAGCAGCCGCGGUAAUACGGAGGAUCCGAGCGUUAUCCGGAUUUAUUGGGUUUAAAGGGAGCGUAGGUGGAUUGUUAAGUCAGUUGUGAAAGUUUGCGGCUCAACCGUAAAAUUGCAGUUGAAACUGGCAGUCUUGAGUACAGUAGAGGUGGGCGGAAUUCGUGGUGUAGCGGUGAAAUGCUUAGAUAUCACGAAGAACUCCGAUUGCGAAGGCAGUUCACUGGACUGCAACUGACACUGAGGCUCGAAAGUGUGGGUAUCAAACAGGAUUAGAUACCCGAGUAGUC
RNAcentral lists this ribosomal RNA (460 nucleotides) under uncultured bacterium. RNAcentral describes it as "partial 16S ribosomal RNA". It matches the Rfam family "Bacterial small subunit ribosomal RNA", at positions 338 to 795 of the family's 1533-position model. The record is from RNAcentral.